Long non-coding RNA from Homo sapiens (human), 282 nucleotides. RefSeq lists it as uncharacterized. NCBI's taxonomy places the organism in Eukaryota, Metazoa, Chordata, Mammalia, Primates, Hominidae. The transcript is spliced from 3 exons. The record is from RefSeq and is a predicted model, not a curated record.
AGUGAUGAAUUCCCUCAGUUUUUGUCUAAGAAGGUCUUUAUUUAUUCUACAUGUUCAAAGGAUAGUUUUGCAGAACAUAGAGAACGGUCUGUAGUUCAGGGCCUUCUUCUCCACAGAAGCAAUCUUGACUGUCGAUCUCCAAAUUGGCCUGUCUCCCCAGAGUUUUAUAUUGAUGAUAAAACUGGCAGCUUCGGUUAUUGAGCAGAACUUAACAACAUUAAGAACCAGGAAUGAAAGUCUUUGAACUGAGCUGAUAUGCCUUCUUCUUUUACAUGGCUCAGA